UACGUAGGGUGCGAGCGUUAAUCGGAAUUACUGGGCGUAAAGCGUGCGCAGGCGGUUUUAUAAGCCAGAUGUGAAAGCCCCGGGCUCAACCUGGGAACGGCAUUUGGGACUGUAAAGCUGGAGUAUGGCAGAGGAGACUAGAAUUCCUGGUGUAGCAGUGAAAUGCGUAGAUAUCAGGAGGAAUACCGAUGGCGAAGGCAGGUCUCUGGGCCAAUACUGACGCUCAUGCACGAAAGCGUGGGGAGCAAACAGG
Molecule: ribosomal RNA, 253 nt
Filed under: uncultured bacterium
Lineage: Bacteria
Description: partial 16S ribosomal RNA
Rfam family: Bacterial small subunit ribosomal RNA
Source: RNAcentral